Pimephales promelas (fathead minnow) is the source of this 982-nucleotide long non-coding RNA. RefSeq lists it as uncharacterized. The record is from RefSeq and is a predicted model, not a curated record. Lineage: Eukaryota; Metazoa; Chordata; Actinopteri; Cypriniformes; Leuciscidae.
GAUGGACGGCUCCUGAGUAGCGAUGCUGCAUCCCCGCCUCACCUGCGGCGGAGUGCCGCUUUGCGUUGCAAUGAUCCGGCACCCUUUCGCUGCGCGCAGCCCCGGUGGAGUCAAGAAGGCCCGUUUCAUUGGAUUGAGUGCUGAUGUCAAUGAAGGUGAUGCCAAAGUUUGGAGCUGAACUUUGGAGUGGAUCUGGGGCGCAGAUCAAGGAAGCUGAUGCUCUUUUGUAUGAAGAAGCGCAUGUUCCUGUCUAACACCGAGAGAGAGAUGGAGAGGCCCUGUCACAAGCAGAUGAGUGUUCAUUACUUUAUCCUUGAGGGGGGGCGGUUGGGGCAGCGGGAAAGAGAUUUCACACUAAUUUGUGGUAUGACACCGUAACCAUUUACAAUAUAUAUUAAACAAACUGACCAUAAAACCCUUAAUAACCCUUUGGUCUAUUAUUAUCACAGCUAAAAAAACACCAUUUUUAGCAUAACCGGUACUUGUGAUUUAAUAUCUCCCCAUAUACCAUGAAACAGAUCAAAAUUGGUAGAUGUUAAAACAAACUUAAAAGGAUGAAUAGCAUGUUUGUCAUAAAUAUAAAGGACAUUUCUCCAAUGCGUCAUACAAUAAAUUACAGAAAUUUGUCUAAAAAUACAGCCCGAUGAUCUGAUUUGAGCAAACGGGUUGUUUAAACAGUAACACUUUACAAUAGGUAUAAGGCUCUAAAAACAUAUUGCACAUAGUUCAUGUUAACUAAUGUAAAAAUAGGGGUCAAAUCUACCAGGUUAAGCCAUAGUGCCAAAAAUAUGUAAAACGUUGCACAGUAACUACUCAAAUUUAGCAUUUGCUCUGGAAUGACAGCUGUUUAUUAGACCUGUAAUUCCUGAAUUAAGUUUCCAAAAAGCCCAAUCUCUGCAUACAAGAUUUAGGUGUACAUAUAGAUAAAACAAAACUUUCAUAAAGCAUUGAUAAUUGUAAACUGAGACAUCCUUACCUGAAA